UGGAGUCUAGCAUGUGUGCAAGUCAUUAGGUAUUUAAAAUAAACCUAAAGGCGUAAUUAACUUAACUGUUUUUAUAAAAAUAUGGGAUUAUAUAUAUAUGACAGAGUUAUAUAUUCCAUCCCGGGGCGUUCUAUAUAGUUAUGCAUUUUAAUGUAAAUUUAUUUAUAUUAUAUAUGCCUCUAACUAGAGCGUACCUUUAGCAUAUAUGUUGUGACCCGAAAGAUGGUGAACUAUACCUGAUCAGGUUGAAGUCAGGGGAAACCCUGAUGGAAGACCGAAACAGUUCUGACGUGCAAAUCGAUUGUCAGAAUUGGGUAUAGGGGCGCAAGACUAAUCGAACUAUCUAGUAGCUGGUUCCCUCCGAAGUUUCCCUCAGGAUAGCUGGUGCAAUUAAAUAUUGUAUAACAUAAUCUUAUUUGGUAAAGCGAAUGAUUAGAGGCAUUAGGGCCGAAACGACCUUAACCUAUUCUCAAACUUUAAAUAGGUAAGAACCUUACCUUUCUUGAUAUGAAGGUCAAGGUUAUGAUAUAUUGUGCCCAGUGGGCCACUUUUGGUAAGCAGAACUGGCGCUGUGGGAUGAACCAAACGUGAUGUUACGGCGCCCAAAUUAACAACUCAUACCGAUACCAUGAAAGGCGUUGCUUGCUUAAAACAGCAGGACGGUGGACAUGGAAGUCGUAAUCCGCUAAGGAGUGUGUAAAAACUCACCUGCCGAAGCAACUAGCCCUUAAAAUGGAUGGCGCUCAAGUUGUAUGCCUAUACAUCACCGCUAAAGUAUAUGAUUUAUAUAAAUAUAAAUUUAUAAUAAAUUUUGAAACUUUAGUGAGUAGGAGGGUACAAUGGUGUGCGUAGAAGUGUUUGGCGUAAGCCUACAUGGAGCCGCCAUUGGUACAGAUCUUGGUGGUAGUAGCAAAUAAUCGAAUGAGACCUUGGAGGACUGAAGUGGAGAAGGGUUUCGUGUGAACAGUGGUUGAUCACGAGUUAGUCGGUCCUAAGUUCAAGGCGAAAGCUCAAAAAUGUUAAGUUAUAAUAAAUAUAUAUAUAUAAUAUAUAUAUAUAAUACACUUAAUAUAUUGAACGAAAGGGAAUACAGUUCCAAUUCCGUAACCUGUUGAGUAUACGUUUGUUAUUAAAAAUGGGCUCUUAUGCUCAUCCUGGCAACAGAAACAACCAUAAAGAAGCCGUCGAGAAAUAUCGAAAGAGUUUUCUUUUCUGUUUCAUAGUCGUACUACCAUGGAAGUCUUUCGAAGAGAGAUAUGGUAGAUGGACUAGAAGAGCAUGGCAUUUACUGCUGUGUCGAUAUUCUCUCCUCGGACCUUGAAAAUUUAUGGUAGGGUUACGCAAACUUCUUAACAGGCCGUACCGAUAUCCGCAGCUGGUCUCCAAGGUGAAGAGUCUCUAGUCGAUAGAAUAAUGUAGGUAAGGGAAGUCA
This 1432-nucleotide ribosomal RNA is filed under the name Psilonyx annulatus. RNAcentral describes it as "eukaryotic LSU rRNA". It matches the Rfam family "Eukaryotic large subunit ribosomal RNA", at positions 669 to 1916 of the family's 3401-position model. Lineage: Eukaryota; Metazoa; Arthropoda; Insecta; Diptera; Asilidae. The record is from RNAcentral.